GUUAUAUGGUCAAGCGGUUAAGCGCGCACGGUGGAUGCCUAGGCGGUAGGAGGCGAUGAAGGACGUUGUAGCCUGCGAUAAGCCUCGGGGAGCUGGCAAACAAGCUUUGAUCCGGGGAUUUCCGAAUGGGGAAACCCAUCCCUUUUAGGGAUAUCCUCACCUGAAUACAUAGGGUGUUGGAGGCGAACCUGGGGAACUGAAACAUCUAAGUACCCAGAGGAAAAGAAAUCAAUUGAGAUUCCGUGAGUAGCGGCGAGCGAAAGUGGAUUAGCCCUUAAGCGUCUUGAGUUUUAGUCGAACGGUCUGGAAAGGCCGGCCAAAGUGGGUGAUAGCCCCGUAGGCGAAAAGGCUCUUGACGUGAAAUCGAGUAGGGCGGGGCACGUGAAACCCUGUCUGAACAUGGGGGGACCAUCCUCCAAGGCUAAAUACUCCCUACCGACCGAUAGUGAACCAGUACCGUGAGGGAAAGGCGAAAAGAACCCCGGAGAGGGGAGUGAAAUAGAACCUGAAACCGUGUGCGUACAAGCAGUGGGAGCCCCUUCGGGGGUGACCGCGUACCUUUUGUAUAAUGGGUCAGCGACUUAAUUUCAGUGGCAAGGUUAACCGCAAGGGGAGCCGUAGGGAAACCGAGUCUUAAUAGGGCGCUCAGUCGCUGGAAUUAGACCCGAAACCGGGCGAUCUAUCCAUGGCCAGGGUGAAGGUGGGGUAACACCUACUGGAGGCCCGAACCCACUAAUGUUGAAAAAUUAGGGGAUGAGCUGUGGAUCGGAGUGAAAGGCUAAUCAAGCUCGGAGAUAGCUGGUUCUCCUCGAAAGCUAUUUAGGUAGCGCCUCAUGUAUCACUCUCGGGGGUAGAGCACUGUUAUGGCUAGGGGGUCAUCCCGACUUACCAAACCAUUGCAAACUCCGAAUACCGAGAAGUGCGAGCAUGGGAGACACACGGCGGGUGCUAACGUCCGUCGUGGAAAGGGAAACAACCCAGACCGCCAGCUAAGGUCCCCAAAUCAUGGCUCAGUGGGAAACGAUGUGGGAAGGCAGAGACAGCCAGGAGGUUGGCUUAGAAGCAGCCAUCCUUUAAAGAAAGCGUAAUAGCUCACUGGUCGAGUCGGCCUGCGCGGAAGAUUUAACGGGGCUAAAGCCAUGUACCGAAGCUGCGGACUUGCUUUGCAAGUGGUAGAGGAGCGUUCUGUAAGCCUGUGAAGGUGUGCCGAGAGGCAUGCUGGAGGUAUCAGAAGUGCGAAUGCUGACAUGAGUAACGAUAAGAUGGGUGAAAAACCCAUCCGCCGAAAGCCCAAGGUUUCCUGCGCAACGCUAAUCGGCGCAGGGUUAGUCGGCCCCUAAGGCGAGGCAGAAAUGCGUAGUCGAUGGGAAACAGGUUAAUAUUCCUGUACCGACUGUUAAUGCGAUGGGGGGACGGAGAAGGCUAAGUGAUCCGGCAGUUGGUGCCCGGUUCAAGUAUGUAGGGAGUGUCCUUAGGCAAAUCCGGGGACACAAUCCUGAGAUACGAUGACGAGCCUCCACGGAGGCGAAGUCACUGAUGCCAUGCUUCCAGGAAAAGCCUCUAAGCUUCAGUUAACAGUUGACCGUACCCCAAACCGACACAGGUGGGCAGGGUGAGAAUCCCAAGGCGCUUGAGAGAACUCGGGUGAAGGAACUAGGCAAAAUGGUACCGUAACUUCGGGAGAAGGUACGCCUCGGCUGGUGAUGGGACUUGCUCCCUGAGCUGGCCGAGGUCGCAGAGACCAGGCCGCUGCGACUGUUUAUUAAAAACACAGCACUCUGCAAACUCGAAAGAGGACGUAUAGGGUGUGACGCCUGCCCGGUGCCGGAAGGUUAAUUGAUGGGGUUAUCUUCGGAGAAGCUCUUGAUCGAAGCCCCGGUAAACGGCGGCCGUAACUAUAACGGUCCUAAGGUAGCGAAAUUCCUUGUCGGGUAAGUUCCGACCUGCACGAAUGGCGUAACGAUGGCGGCGCUGUCUCCACCCGAGACUCAGUGAAAUUGAAAUCGCAGUGAAGAUGCUGUGUACCCGCGGCUAGACGGAAAGACCCCGUGAACCUUUACUACAGCUUCACACUGAACUUUGAACUUGUUUGUGUAGGAUAGGUGGGAGGCUUUGAAACCGGGACGCCAGUCUCGGCGGAGCCAACCUUGAAAUACCACCCUGGCAAUUUUGGAGUUCUAACCCAGGCCUGUUAUCCAGGUCGGGGACCGUGUGUGGUGGGUAGUUUGACUGGGGCGGUCUCCUCCCAAAGAGUAACGGAGGAGUGCGAAGGUACCCUCAGCGCGGUCGGAAAUCGCGCGACGAGUGCAAAGGCAUAAGGGUGCUUAACUGCGAGACAGACACGUCGAGCAGGUGCGAAAGCAGGUCUUAGUGAUCCGGUGGUUCUGUAUGGAAGGGCCAUCGCUCAACGGAUAAAAGGUACUCCGGGGAUAACAGGCUGAUACUGCCCAAGAGUCCAUAUCGACGGCAGUGUUUGGCACCUCGAUGUCGGCUCAUCACAUCCUGGGGCUGAAGCAGGUCCCAAGGGUAUGGCUGUUCGCCAUUUAAAGUGGUACGCGAGCUGGGUUUAGAACGUCGUGAGACAGUUCGGUCCCUAUCUGCCGUGGGCGUCGGAGAUUUGACAGGAUCUGUCCUUAGUACGAGAGGACCGGGAUGGACGCACCUCUGGUGUUCCGGUUGUCACGCCAGUGGCAUUGCCGGGUAGCUAAGUGCGGAAGGGAUAACCGCUGAAAGCAUCUAAGCGGGAAACCCACCUGAAGAUGAUAUCUCCCUGGGCCCUCGAGGUCCCUGUAGGGCCGUUGAAGACUACAACGUUGAUAGGCUGGGUGUUGAAGCGCGGUAACGCGUGUAGCUAACCAGUACUAAUUGCCCGUGAGGCUUGACCAUAUAACACCCAAAGUGUUGG
RNAcentral lists this ribosomal RNA (2905 nucleotides) under Thioalkalivibrio versutus. Its description in RNAcentral is "bacterial LSU rRNA". It matches the Rfam family "Bacterial large subunit ribosomal RNA". The record is from RNAcentral. Lineage: Bacteria; Pseudomonadati; Pseudomonadota; Gammaproteobacteria; Chromatiales; Ectothiorhodospiraceae.